Long non-coding RNA from Platichthys flesus (European flounder), 1965 nucleotides. RefSeq lists it as uncharacterized. The record is from RefSeq and is a predicted model, not a curated record. NCBI's taxonomy places the organism in Eukaryota, Metazoa, Chordata, Actinopteri, Pleuronectiformes, Pleuronectidae. The transcript has 2 exons.
UUUAAACAUUCACAGUUAGAAACAUCUCUGGCAGCCGGCAGCAGCAGCACACCUACUGAUGCCGCAGCGGGCGCCGGUCGUGGAGGGGUCCGCUGUGUUUCCACCGUGUGGCGGGCGGCGCUGAAGGGAGAGCCGUGACAUUGAGAGGGCUGUCAGGUAGAAGAUCCUGGAAUUGAGAGACUCCACCUGCAGGUCGGCUGGUGGAGAGGAUGAUGACAGUGUAAAGCAAAGACAGACACAUCGCAGAAAAGGGGACAGAGGCUUGAGAAGCAGUGGGUGGUGGAUGAGGACAAUGAGGGUUCUGGAUUGGUCAGUAGGGACCCACCUAUCACACCUGCAGUGGAUAAACAAGAGGAUUACCUUCUCUUUUUAUCUGCCCAAGUUGAUCCUCCCACGAGGGGAUGAAGCAGCCACUCACCUCUCUGUUGAAUGUCCACGGAGGAUACUUUGAUUACAAAGACUGGCCAUUUAUAAUAUGAGUCUGUGCGUGUGGGUUAUCUGCUGAAUGCCACAAGAACCACACAUCAAGGCAUAGCAUGAGAGAUGGAUGGAGUUGAUGGGCUAAUAGUCCAAUAAAACCAAGUUUACUUCCUGUCAGCUUCUCUCUUUAGCAAUGUGCAAUAUUGAAUUAGCUUGGACCACUAAAGAAUGUUUGUAUUAAACUAUGAAAUGGUCUCAAUCUCCUUAUUCACCUUCCUUCAAUGUUUCUCCUCCCUCUCCCUCUCUCAGCAGCAAAAUGACAGCAACCCAAGUCGCAAACAGAACCUGUCCCGUUGGCUGUCGGAGUACGGCCCUGGCGAGUUAAACUGGCAUAUGCCGUUCCACUCGACGCCGCUGGAUGCACAAAAACAGAAAAACAAACCUUAACAAAACAACCUCACAACAGUUCCUCAUAGCAGCAUGAUGCAUACAAAGAGAAAUAUAAAAACUAAUUUUGGCAGCAUAGUAGGGACAAUUGCUGAUGUCACCACCCGUGGCUCCGUGGACAGGCAAGCCAGUAUCUAAAACCUCCUCCUGGAUGGCUCCCUGUGUGAACAGUCAGGCGGCGGCUCGCACAGAAUUUGCGUUUCUGCCUCAGGUGUGUGUCCCUGACGUACACGCUGCGGUGAUAGACUGCGGUUAGAGUCAAAGAUGAAUAAAAAAAAGAUGAAAUUAUCAGGUGCACAAUUCAGAAAGCACCGCAAAGUAGAGGAGGAGAAGAAAGAACAAUAUAGAGGUAUCACCCCGAUUGUGGACAUCAUUAAUGUUUAUUUGUGUCGACAUGACAUGAUAUAUCAGUAAGGCUUAAAUCAGAAUCUUUUUAUAAUUUUUAUUAUAUAUUUUUAUUGUUUUUUAUAGUUUACAAUUUUGUCUGCCCGUGUGUGCAUCUCUAUACAGUCCAAAAGCUCUUGGGGAUGCAUGACAGUUUGCGUGUGUAUGUUUGGGGGUGGCAAUUUGUUAUCUCACCUAGGGUGCCAACAUUCCCAGGGCCAGCCAUGGUCUACCGUUAUGUUUUAAAACAAUUACUUGUAAGUUUUUCCUUACAAGAACAAUAACCAUGGGUCCUAAUCAAUCAAUCAAUCAAUCAAUGUUUAUUUGUAUAGCCCAUACAAAUCACAAUUUGUCUCAUUGGGAUUUAACAAGGUAUUACAUUAUAUCUGUACAGGAGAAAAGUGUCUAAAUUCCACAGAUGCUCCUUUCUCCUUCUUAACAGUACCAAAGGUCAGGUUAUAGAUAAAGGAGCAACCAACAGUUCAUUGUAGCGUCUAUGCUUAGGGACUUUCAUAUCUAACUCAAAUACUCCAGACAGAGGGGAAACAGCAUGAUCAAGGUUACAUUGUAUGAGAUUUGAUCAUGAUCAAUCAGAGGGGAAAUAAACAUGAUGAUAUUGUGGUCAAAUGUUAUAUUUCCCUUACAGUUUGUAUGUUGUUUCACCUUCAGGUCUCCUUGAUGCAUCAAGUCUCCAUUAAAACCUUCUGCAUAAGA